Molecule: long non-coding RNA, 1023 nt
Filed under: Triticum aestivum (bread wheat)
Lineage: Eukaryota; Viridiplantae; Streptophyta; Magnoliopsida; Poales; Poaceae
Description: long non-coding RNA (TAES_LNC022967)
Source: RNAcentral
UCAGAAGCUCACAUCAGAGAUUAGUUACAAUCUUCGCCGUGUUCUUAUUGGGUUUAACCACACUCACUAAAGCACUCAUCAUCAUCUCAUUUCAAUCUAAGCUAUGAAUCAUGAAACACAACAACAUAUACAAAGAUUCCUUCAUACAGAGAACGAGAAUCGUGGGUUGAAGCGCAUACGUACAAGUCUCAGGAAAUGAUCGCCGCCAUGUCAUGUCAUGUCCGGGGGAACACGCCGAGCAUCUUGCCCCUGCCGAGGCACUCGGAGAGCUUCUUUGCGCCGUCCACCUCAGCGGCCAGGAGCCCCUGCAGGAACCCGCACGCGCCGGCGGCCACCAUCUGCUUCCGGCACCGCCGGGACUGCGCCACGGCCAGCAGCAGCGACACGGGGAACCGCUUGUCGGCGCCCCGGACGGCCGGGUCCAGCAGCUGGACCGCGUUCACUAUGCCCAUCUCGUCUUUCUUGAACGCCUUCCGGUGGCUGCUUGCCGCCACCACCAGCGUCGCCAGCGCCCUCGCCGCGGCGUCCCUCUCGGCCACGGCCUUGGCCUCCAGCAUCCAGAUCAGCCUCGGCAUCGCGCCCCCGGCCUCCUUCCUUGCCUUGCUGCUGCUGCUGACGCUGCAUAGCUCCGCCAGCGCCAUGGCGGCCUCUGUGCGGGUGCUGGCCCUGUCGCUGCCCAGCGCGGCCAGGACGUGGCUGACGAAGCCGGCGGACACCGCUAUCUCGGCGAUGUAGCGGAAGGUGGCCAUGUUGCGGAGGAGCCCGAAUGCCGGCGCGAGACCCGGCUGGUCGCCGCGGCAGGACUCCAGGAAGUCCUUGACGCAGCCGAGCGCGCCUUCUUGGAAAGCCUCGACCUUGAACCUCUGCCCCUCGUCGCCAUCGCUGGCCGUCAAGUUCUGGAGGCAGCCAAGCGCGAGCUCCUGCGUCCGCGGCGUGCCGAGUGAGACGAGCUGCACGAUCAGCGGGAGCGCGCCCUCGUCGCGGAACGCGGGGAGCAGGUCCGGGAACGCGGCGAUGUUCCGG